RNAcentral lists this long non-coding RNA (473 nucleotides) under Ananas comosus (pineapple). RNAcentral describes it as "long non-coding RNA (ACOM_LNC010840)". Lineage: Eukaryota; Viridiplantae; Streptophyta; Magnoliopsida; Poales; Bromeliaceae. The record is from RNAcentral.
CUAAAAACUCAGAAACAUAAACUCUGAAUCCAAGACAAUCAUGUUUCUUUACCAUUUAUAUUUCAAAACAUAUUAUAUCAUGAUUUAAAUUUUCAAAAUAUAAUUCAAAUAUAAUAUCAAUCAUUUAUGUAUGUUGUAUAAUAUAAAAACUCUUUAGAUUCGCGUCGAGUUUGAAUUUGGAUCGGCUACAAACAAAAUUCAUUUUCGAAUUCGAAUUUUUCGAAUUUUUAUUUUGUAUACUCAUAUCCGAAGUCACGUACGUUUAUUAGCAUCUAAGAAAUGUACUCCAUUCUUAUUCGAGUUGGAAUAAAACUUCGAAUAUCUGUACUCUUUGACAUUCUUACACAUAGGAUUAGAUAAAAUAUACAAUAUACAAUCCAAAUGAAAUAUAUAAGUAAUAUUUUUUAUGAUAAUAUUAAUAAUAACAAUAUUGGUCUCGGACUGAUCAAAUCAUUUUUCUGGUAAUAAUGUGU